UACGUCGGGUGCGAGCGUUGUCCGGAAUUAUUGGGCGUAAAGAGCUCGUAGGCGGUGUGUCACGUCGUUCGUGAAAACCUGCAGCUUAACUGUGGGCGUGCGGUCGAUACGGGCAUCACUGGAGUUCGGCAGGGGAGACUGGAAUUCCUGGUGUAGCGGUGAAAUGCGCAGAUAUCAGGAGGAACACCGGUGGCGAAGGCGGGUCUCUGGGCCGAUACUGACGCUGAGGAGCGAAGGCCAGGGGAGCAAACGGG
Molecule: ribosomal RNA, 254 nt
Filed under: uncultured bacterium
Lineage: Bacteria
Description: partial 16S ribosomal RNA
Rfam family: Bacterial small subunit ribosomal RNA
Source: RNAcentral